Molecule: small RNA, 507 nt
Filed under: Drosophila mojavensis
Lineage: Eukaryota; Metazoa; Arthropoda; Insecta; Diptera; Drosophilidae
Description: GI25830
Source: RNAcentral
AAAAGUACCCAGUUAAUUAAUGGCAAUAUUUCGACGCCUUCGGUUGGAAUAGCGGCUGGACGGGAACGUUUUGAUUGUCAAUUGCAAUUGAAUUGAUUUGAACAUAAAUUGAGGCGGCUUGACAACAGUUGCAAUCAGCCCAAAGGAGACGAUUAGCACACACAAACAUAAACACUUAUAUACGUCUAUAUAUGUGUGCAUAGUGCAUAUACACAUACAUAUAUGUAUAUGCGUAUAUAGCACAGAUAGAAAUAAAGACGUUUAUAUAGGCACUUAAAGCGGUUAUUGCUUUCGUCUAUUAAUUUACAAUUGUUUCUUGUUGUUGUUGCUGUUUCUGUGCUGACAUCGAUUAACACUAAGGUAAACGCUCGCAUGGCGAACAACAACGCAGCCGCCGACGUUGACGGCGCCAAUCAGAAGCCAAAAGCUAAUGGCUUAAUAGGCAGCGGCGAUGCAUGUGCAUCAACAACAACAACAACAACAGCAUCAGCAUCAUCAGCAGCAGCA